This 558-nucleotide ribosomal RNA is filed under the name Triticum aestivum (bread wheat). Its description in RNAcentral is "partial small subunit ribosomal RNA". Lineage: Eukaryota; Viridiplantae; Streptophyta; Magnoliopsida; Poales; Poaceae. The record is from RNAcentral.
AUGCAGGAAGCCGACGGGGAGCACGGCGUCAACAAGCCGACAGGAGGCGGGGUCUUCCCGCUGGGAUGGAGGAGCAGGCGAUGGCCGGGAGGCCACCGGUGGGGGAGCAACGAGGCCCGAGCUCUAGGAUCCGCACACAUUGCGGGAUGGAGAAGAGGCCGGCGUGGGGCGCAAGGAGCAGCAGGGGAAGAACAGUGGGGCUUUCAUCUCCUCUCUCAUCUCGACUCCUACAAACCUCGCCACUGGUGCUUGCUCGGCUUACUCAUUCUCCUCCUCUCCCCAUAUUUUCCUCUGUUGUUUGUGUUCCUUCAAUUUGCAGGGAUUGUGGGAAGCAAAUGUACGUGGGUGAGUUAUUUCUUUUGUGUGAAAGUCUCUUCCAUGCUGGUCUAUGGAUUCCUUGACGCUCUGUUCAUGACUGACUCUGUUCUUGUUUUAUCUUUUUUACCUUUGCACGGAGUUGUUCUACUCUCUCCCUCGAGGUGGGUUGAGUUGCAGUUUAGGUGGAGAUGUUGGUGCUGUUUGAGACGCCCACUGGGUUCGCCGUUUUCAAGGUUCUGA